Unclassified non-coding RNA from Megachile rotundata (alfalfa leafcutting bee), 1093 nucleotides. NCBI's taxonomy places the organism in Eukaryota, Metazoa, Arthropoda, Insecta, Hymenoptera, Megachilidae. The record is from RefSeq and is a predicted model, not a curated record.
CCGCCAUUUACCGCCAUUGAUUCAAGUUUCUUCGUGACUGGCGUUUGUGACAUUCGGCUUGAACUGAUUUUUAAGCGUUUUUUAUUAGAACAAUAGAUCUAGUUUAAAAAUGUUUUUAACACGUUCUGAAUACGAUCAUGGUGUUAAUACCUUCUCACCCGAAGGAAGAUUAUUCCAAGUUGAAUAUGCUAUAGAAGCUAUAAAACUUGGUUCCACUGCCAUUGGAAUUGCAACAUCAGAAGGUGUAGUGUUAGUUGUGGAGAAGCGUAUCACUUCCGCUUUAAUGGAGCCUACAACCUUAGAAAAAAUUGUUGAAAUUGAUAAGCACAUUGGAUGCGCUGCAUCAGGUUUAAUAGCUGAUUCUAGAACAAUAAUUGAUCGUGCUAGAGUAGAAUGUCAGAAUCAUUGGUUCGUCUACAAUGAAAGAAUGUCUGUCGAAUCGACGGCCCAAGCUGUUUCCAAUUUAGCUAUACAAUUUGGAGACAGCGAUGACGAUGGAAGUGCUAUGUCAAGACCAUUUGGUGUAGCAGUUUUGUUUGCUGGUAUAGACGAGAAAGGGCCUCAGUUAUAUCAUAUGGACCCUUCAGGCACUUUCGUUCAAUUCAAUGCAAAAGCCAUUGGCUCUGGUAGCGAAGGUGCACAACAGAACCUUCAAGAAGUAUAUCAUGCGUCUAUGACGCUUAAAGAAGCAAUAAAAUCAGCUUUAGUUAUACUGAAGCAAGUCAUGGAAGAAAAAUUGAAUGAUGAUAACAUAGAAGUAAUGACAAUGACACCUGAGAAACUGUUUCAUAUGUUUACAAAAGCUGAAUUACAGGAGUUAAUUGAUAUUCUGCCAUCAUCAAAAGAAGAAUCCUUAAGAUCCAGAUCCAACAUGUCUGGUCCAUUUCCAUCACUCCCAUCUGUAUCCAUUGAUGGAUGAAAAUCUGAGAAGUGACUGGUGUAUUUGUUGAUGUUACCUCCAUCCUAAGACACUUAUCUACUUAUCUCAAUAAUCAACAAAUGUCUACGAAUUUUCUAACCUACACUUACGUUAACUAUAUGGAAGCAGCGUUUUUUAAUUUAUAACUCAGGAAUGCUGGAUUUACACGGAGCA